UGGGGAAUAUUGCGCAAUGGAGGAAACUCUGAUGCAGCAACGCCGCGUGAGGGAAGAAGGUCUUCGGAUUGUAAACCUUUGUCCUUGGGGACGAUAAUGACGGUAGCCGAGGAGGAAGCUCCGGCUAACUACGAGCCAGCAGCCGCGGUAAUAAAC
RNAcentral lists this ribosomal RNA (156 nucleotides) under uncultured Clostridium sp. RNAcentral describes it as "partial 16S ribosomal RNA". It matches the Rfam family "Bacterial small subunit ribosomal RNA", at positions 355 to 526 of the family's 1533-position model. Lineage: Bacteria; Bacillati; Bacillota; Clostridia; Eubacteriales; Clostridiaceae. The record is from RNAcentral.